GCUCAAUUGGUAGAGCAUCAGACUUUUGAUCUGAGUGCCCAGGGUUCAAGUCCCUG
Molecule: transfer RNA, 56 nt
Organism: Pelodiscus sinensis (Chinese soft-shelled turtle)
Lineage: Eukaryota; Metazoa; Chordata; Testudines; Trionychidae
Rfam family: tRNA
About the family: Transfer RNA (tRNA) molecules are approximately 80 nucleotides in length. Their secondary structure includes four short double-helical elements and three loops (D, anti-codon, and T loops).
Source: Rfam